RNAcentral lists this ribosomal RNA (433 nucleotides) under uncultured bacterium. Its description in RNAcentral is "partial 16S ribosomal RNA". It matches the Rfam family "Bacterial small subunit ribosomal RNA", at positions 29 to 507 of the family's 1533-position model. The record is from RNAcentral.
AACGAACGCUGGCGGCAGGCCUAACACAUGCAAGUCGAGCGCGCCCUUCGGGAUGACCGGCGGACGGGUGAGUAAAGCGUGGAAACGUGCCCUUAUCUGCGGAAUAGCUUCGGGAAACUGAGGGUAAUCCCGCGUACGCGACUGGUGGGAAAGAUUGAUCGGAGAAGGCGCGGGGCGCGUUGGAUUAGGUGGUUGGUUGAGUAAUUGACCAGCAAGCAGACGAUCCAUAGCUGGAUUGGGAGGAUGAUCAGGCAUACUGGGACUGAGAAACGGCCGAGACUCCUAGGGGAGGCAGAAGGCGGGAAGCAUAGACGCUGGGGGCAAGACGGAGCUAGCCGGGCUGCGAGAGUCAGGAAGGCCGUAGGAUAGGAAAGCGCGUGAAGAUGGGAAGAUAUUGACGGUACCAGAAGAGGAAGCCACGGCUAACUCCGUG